CUACGGGCGGCUCAGUGAGGAAUAUUGCACAAUGGGGGGAACCCUGAUGCAGCAACGCCGCGUGGAGGAUGACGCAUUUCGGUGUGUAAACUCCUUUUAUAUGUCAAGAAAAUGACGGUAGCAUAUGAAUAAGCACCGGCUAACUCCGUGCCAGCAGCCGCGGUAAUACGGAGGGUGCAAGCGUUACUCGGAAUCACUGGGCGUAAAGGACGCGUAGGCGGGUUGGAAAGUCAGGUGUGAAAUCCUACAGCUUAACUGUAGAACUGCACUUGAAACUUCUAAUCUAGAGUAUGGGAGGGGGAGAUGGAAUUAGUGGUGUAGGGGUAAAAUCCGUAGAUAUCACUAGGAAUACCUAAAGCGAAGGCGAUCUCCUGGAACAUUACUGACGCUAAGGCGUGAAAGCGUGGGGAGCAAACAGGAUUAGAUACCCCGGUAGUC
RNAcentral lists this ribosomal RNA (438 nucleotides) under uncultured bacterium. RNAcentral describes it as "partial 16S ribosomal RNA". It matches the Rfam family "Bacterial small subunit ribosomal RNA", at positions 339 to 795 of the family's 1533-position model. The record is from RNAcentral.